Molecule: long non-coding RNA, 439 nt
Organism: Ananas comosus (pineapple)
Lineage: Eukaryota; Viridiplantae; Streptophyta; Magnoliopsida; Poales; Bromeliaceae
Exons: 2
Source: RefSeq, a predicted model, not a curated record
CGAACCAAACGGUGGCAGAAAGUUGUAGAAGAAUCAGAUGCGCAAUUGACAUGAGUUGGUUAGGAUAGGAUUCUUUUCAAGUAUUAUUUAUCGCCAUUGGCUCUGGUACCAUGUUGUUAUCUGAUGUCUUCAUCUAUGUUUGAUAUAUACCAUAUUGAGAUAGAUGUUUAGAUGCGAUUCUGACAUCUUCUAUACGUUGUGAUGUUACAAGGGUGUUAGUGAUGGUGGUGAUGUCACGGUCGUACGUGGAUCACAUUGACGUAUGAAUGCUCCCGUACUUAAGGAGGUAUUUGAGACACGGGGCAAAAUGCUGAAAGAGUUUUUAUAAUUAAGUUUUUCUUUACACUAAAAACCAAAGAAGUUUUAUGAACUCUUGACUGAUCGAGUGUAAGAUUUAUACUUAUCGGUAGGAUGCUUAUUUGGUGCAUUUUGUCGUUAA